RNAcentral lists this ribosomal RNA (460 nucleotides) under uncultured bacterium. Its description in RNAcentral is "partial 16S ribosomal RNA". It matches the Rfam family "Bacterial small subunit ribosomal RNA", at positions 338 to 795 of the family's 1533-position model. The record is from RNAcentral.
CCUACGGGAGGCAGCAGUGAGGAAUAUUGGUCAAUGGACGAGAGUCUGAACCAGCCAAGUAGCGUGAAGGAUGAAUGCCCUAUGGGUUGUAAACUUCUUUUAUAAAGGAAUAAAGUGAUGCACGUGUGCCUUUUUGUAUGUACUUUAUGAAUAAGGAUCGGCUAACUCCGUGCCGGCAGCCGCGGUAAUACGGAGGAUCCGAGCGUUAUCCGGAUUUAUUGGGUUUAAAGGGAGCGUAGAUGGGUUGUUAAGUCAGUUGUGAAAGUUUGCGGCUCAACCGUAAAAUUGCAAUUGAUACUGGCAGUCUUGAGUACAGUUGAGGUAGGCGGAAUUCGUGGUGUAGCGGUGAAAUGCUUAGAGAUCACGAAGAACUCCGAUGGCGAAGGCAGCUUACUAAGAUGGCACUGACAUUGAUGCUCGAAAGUGUGGGUAUCAAACAGGAUUAGAUACCCGUGUAGUC